This is a long non-coding RNA of Megalopta genalis, 2521 nucleotides long. RefSeq lists it as uncharacterized. The record is from RefSeq and is a predicted model, not a curated record. Lineage: Eukaryota; Metazoa; Arthropoda; Insecta; Hymenoptera; Halictidae.
AUUCUACUAGAGUAAUGUUUUUCUGAAUUGUAACUGGCACCAGUUAAUCAGAAUCAAACGUGUAUCUUGUUACAAAUAAACAUUUUAAUAAUCUUUGAAAAUACUCUAAAAUUCUUCGACGGAAUAGUAUCACAUACGUAUAUUACAAAUUUUCAGAUUGUUACAAACAGUAAUCAAAUGUUAAUUUCAAAAUAAUUUAUUUUUAACGUAAUUCAUUUAUCGCAAAGUAUUUUCAUUUUUUAACUUCUUUAUUAAUCAUUCUGUUCUUCAACAAAUUCUACUAAAAUUAUUCUAAAAUAUCUGAUAUUUAUAUGAAUAUGUCUCACACACACAUACAAAACUUGGAUGCACUUCGACAUUCACAACUAAGAGGUUAAUGUAGUUCUGAAUAUUUGUACACAUUCUUAUUCCAAGAUAAACAAUCGAUUUUAUCAACGUUUACAAGGUUUUACAGUAGAAAACAUAAUUAUUAUUACUUCCUAUAAGGAUAUGUGCAAGAAUCUCUAUAAAAUUUAUCACUAUACCUAUAUAUAUAUAUACCAAUGUUGUUUAUACUAAUGAUCAAGGAACAAUACAAGGAUUUAUAAAAAAAAAGUUAGUAUAAUCAAGAUUUAGCAAGAAUUACAUGCAAACUUACCUUAGAAAAGAACUGACUGUUUAAACUUUAUUACGGUAAGCUAAUUAAAAACAAUAAUGUAAAUAGUGACGAUAUAAAUGACUGAUUUAAAUUUGGAGAUUAUACAUUGUCUGGUAAGCAGAAAAAGGAGAGUACAAAUUGAAUUUCGGCUAAUAUAAUAUAUCUACAUUCAAAAUCUAACACCUAAUCUACGUCAUACCAUGUAAUGCGUCAUCAGUGCUACAUUAUUCAUAUAAAUAAUAUAAAUCAUUUAUAAAUUAAGAUAUGCAAUAAACAAUUAUAGUUAUUUCUCAGAUGUGUAUAUGAAACUAUAAUAUACAUUAAUAUUUAGAUUAUUUUAUUAAAUUAUAUUAAGAAUGUAUUGAAUCAUAAUAUGUAUAUUUAUAUUUGGAAAACUUUCUUCCUAUGUUAGUUACUACGCUAACUAUCAUUCAUGAAUGUGAAUAUCAUAUAUUACAUCCAUGUAUCUAAAAAUUUCAAAGCAACUAAAUUUUGAUACUCUUAAAUGAACAUUAACAGAGGACUACUACAUUUCAUAUUAGAAGAUUUCUAAAAUUUUUGUAAACUGUACAAAAACUUUGUUUAACACAGGGAUCAACAAAUCCAUCUAUGUGGUAUCAGGGAUUAAUAUCCAUUGGGGAAAAAAGAGUUACUAGGCCUCGGGAUAGCGAAAACCAAAGGGACAAGGUUUUAGUUACUGGUUAUAACAGAACUGAAAAACAGGGGCUUGUAGAAUAUCUUUAUUUUCUGUUGUCAUGAUCUGAAGUUUAUUCUCAAAUGCAUAUGCAGAUUUUUAUUGUUCAUGAGGUCCAUAGUGUUAUUAUAUUAUACAUAUCUUCGAAACACGUAAAACUGUAAGUGAUACAUCUCAGAAAAUGAUUGAUAUCAAAAAUGAUAUUGAUGCAGUGUUAAAUGUCAGCAAUAAAUACUUAUCCGACUUGUGUAUAAAACAACGCUGUUGUGUAUAAAACACUCGCUGUGCUACAUAGGUUGGCAAAGAUAAAGUGAAUUUAUAGCACCCACACGUUAAAGAGUCGCAGAAAGAGCCUUAAACGACGUUUGAAAAAACAACUGAUAGGAAAAAAUAGCUAAUAAUAUCAUUAAUGCUAUCAAAUAGCUGUGCAAAUAGCAUUGCGCAAUAUCAACAAAAUGCGAUAGCUUUUCCUGAAUGUUGAAUAAGUGCUUUCUGUAUUUGUAUAAUAUAUCUGAAAAAUUAAUGAUAAUUAUCAUGAACUGAAAAUCUGCAAUGACCCAACUUAUGUUGAUGUUUAGAGACUGGUCAUCGGAUUAAUGAUGGAGUCAUUAUACACAAAAGUUUUUAUAAAAUCUAAUCAGGUAAAAUAAAUAAGUGAUAUUAUGUUUGCACAUUCAGUAUCUACAUUUAAAACUGUUAACAUUUUUAAUGAAAAUAUGGAAGGAAAUUUGCAUACAAUUUGGAAUGAACGCAGACUAUAAAAACAAACCAGGAAACGAUGAGGAAAGAAAUAUUGUUUUUGAAUUAACGAAAAAAUUAGUGGUUAUGAUUUUACAUAUACAAGUACAUAUCUUACUAAUAUAACAUACAGGAUGUUUCAGAAAUACAAGUCAAUAUUGGAGGAAAUAAAUGUACAUACUAAGUAAGUAAAAAGUCUCUUAUGAUGGUAGCCAGAAAAAUAAGCUAAUUUCGGAUUGGACAACAUUAUAAUUCUGAACUACAAAUAUGAUGCAGAACUGCAGAUGGGUUUGCUUUUUUAUAAUGAAAUUAAAUUAUAAUUAAAUUAUAUAUUUAUAUAUAAUAUUAUAUAAUAUAAGUUACAAAUGAAAAUCAUUAUUUGUUAGAAAUUAUAUAAUUACACAUCAUCAUCGCCUGACAUUUAAUCUUGUACAAUUAUAUCGUUUAAUUCA